UGAUGCAGCACUGCCGCGUGCAGGAUGAAGGCCUUCGGGUUGUAAACUGCUUUUGUACGGAGCGAAAAGGCUCUCUCUAAUACAGGGGGCUCAUGACGGUACCGUAAGAAUAAGCCCCGGCUAACUACGUGCCAGCAGCCGCGGUA
This 146-nucleotide ribosomal RNA is filed under the name uncultured Burkholderiales bacterium. RNAcentral describes it as "partial 16S ribosomal RNA". It matches the Rfam family "Bacterial small subunit ribosomal RNA", at positions 384 to 522 of the family's 1533-position model. The record is from RNAcentral. Lineage: Bacteria; Pseudomonadati; Pseudomonadota; Betaproteobacteria; Burkholderiales.